CCUACGGGUGGCAGCAGUGGGGAAUAUUGCACAAUGGGGGAAACCCUGAUGCAGCAACGCCGCGUGAGUGAGGAAGUAUUUCGGUAUGUAAAGCUCUAUCAGCAGGGAGUAGAAAAGAAGGUACCUGAAAAAGAAGCCCCGGCUAACUACGUGCCAGCAGCCGCGGUAAUACGUAGGGGGCAAGCGUUAUCCGGAUUUACUGGGUGUAAAGGGAGCGUAGACGGAAAGGCAAGUCAGAUGUGAAAGCCCGGGGCUCAACCCCGGGACUGCAUUUGGAACUGUGUGGCUGGAGUGUCGGAGAGGCAGGCGGAAUUCCUAGUGUAGCGGUGAAAUGCGUAGAUAUUAGGAGGAACACCAGUGGCGAAGGCGGCCUGCUGGACGAUGACUGACGUUGAGGCUCGAAAGCGUGGGGAGCAAACAGGAUUAGAUACCCCAGUAGUC
This 441-nucleotide ribosomal RNA is filed under the name uncultured bacterium. RNAcentral describes it as "partial 16S ribosomal RNA". It matches the Rfam family "Bacterial small subunit ribosomal RNA", at positions 338 to 795 of the family's 1533-position model. The record is from RNAcentral.